Molecule: ribosomal RNA, 419 nt
Filed under: uncultured Prevotella sp.
Lineage: Bacteria; Pseudomonadati; Bacteroidota; Bacteroidia; Bacteroidales; Prevotellaceae
Description: bacterial SSU rRNA
Rfam family: Bacterial small subunit ribosomal RNA
Source: RNAcentral
GGAAUAUUGGUCAAUGGGCGAGAGCCUGAACCAGCCAAGUAGCGUGCAGGAUGACGGCCCUAUGGGUUGUAAACUGCUUUUAUAUAGGGAUAAAGUCACCCACGUGUGGGUGUUUGUAGGUACUAUAUGAAUAAGGACCGGCUAAUUCCGUGCCAGCAGCCGCGGUAAUACGGAAGGUCCGGGCGUUAUCCGGAUUUAUUGGGUUUAAAGGGAGCGCAGGCGGAGGCUUAAGCGUGACGUGAAAUGCCGCGGCUCAACCGUGGAAGUGCGUCGCGAACUGGGUUUCUUGAGUGAGUGCGACGUGUACGGAAUUCGUGGUGUAGCGGUGAAAUGCUUAGAUAUCACGAAGAACCCCGAUUGCGAAGGCAGUGCACGAGCCCUUUACUGACGCUAAAGCUCGAAGGUGCGGGUAUCGAACA